GAUGAACGCUGGCGGCGUGCCUAACACAUGCAAGUCGAACGAAGCUUGACGGAUGAUUUCUUCGGAAUGAAACCAGAUAUGACUUAGUGGCGGACGGGUGAGUAACACGUGAGCAACCUGCCUUUCAGAGGGGGAUAACGGUUGGAAACGGUCGCUAAUACCGCAUGAUGUGUUCGGAUGGCAUCAUCUGAACAUCAAAGAUUUAUCGCUGAAAGAUGGGCUCGCGUCUGAUUAGAUAGUUGGUGGGGUAACGGCCUACCAAGUCUACGAUCAGUAGCCGGACUGAGAGGUUGAACGGCCACAUUGGGACUGAGAUACGGCCCAGACUCCUACGGGAGGCAGCAGUGGGGAAUAUUGCACAAUGGGGGAAACCCUGAUGCAGCAACGCCGCGUGAAGGAUGACGGUUUUCGGAUUGUAAACUUCUUUUCUUAGUGACGAAGACAGUGACGGUAGCUAAGGAAUAAGCAUCGGCUAACUACGUG
RNAcentral lists this ribosomal RNA (483 nucleotides) under uncultured bacterium. Its description in RNAcentral is "partial 16S ribosomal RNA". It matches the Rfam family "Bacterial small subunit ribosomal RNA", at positions 28 to 507 of the family's 1533-position model. The record is from RNAcentral.